GAACAGUGAAGUCGAUUGGAUUAGCAACAUUGCAAAAUGGAAAAAUGGACAUGCUGAAAUAACCACCAGUGUGUUUGGAAUGUUAGUAUACUGUCUGUGGCGGGAAAGGAACAAGAUUAGAUUCCAAGACGGAAGCUCAAUUAUAAAGGAUACAUGCAAAGAGAUAGCAGUUCAUGUGCACAUUCAGGGAACUUCUCUUAAACACUGGAAGGAUGUUUUGCGAAGACUGGAUCACUACCCGUAGGAAAAAGAAGGGAAGCAUUAUAUGUUUGUCUUGAUUUAAUGUAUAAAGAGCAUAUGGGAGUGUUUUCAUUUUAGACUGGUUGGAAAC
RNAcentral lists this long non-coding RNA (331 nucleotides) under Nicotiana benthamiana. RNAcentral describes it as "long non-coding RNA (NBEN_LNC027391)". The record is from RNAcentral. Lineage: Eukaryota; Viridiplantae; Streptophyta; Magnoliopsida; Solanales; Solanaceae.